This 712-nucleotide long non-coding RNA is filed under the name Equus caballus (horse). RNAcentral's name for it is "lncRNA (ENSECAG00000060052.1)". Lineage: Eukaryota; Metazoa; Chordata; Mammalia; Perissodactyla; Equidae. The record is from RNAcentral.
GCAAGGCUUCGAUGUGCUCAGACGGCGUCAUCUCCUCUGUGACGACCGACCCCGGGCAUCCCCGUUUCCUUCUGCUAAAGUCCCUCCAGACCCGGUGCCGUUGCCUGUCUGCCCUGCUGUCCUCAGCGGUCACCCUGAACGGGGGUCUCUGAGGGGUCCCCGGGAGGCAGUGCGGUGUGGCAGGACAGGCCCAGCACUGGGGGCUCGUCCUGACUCUGCUCUGUGCUGCCGCCGGGCUCCCAGCGGGUCCCUCGGCUCCCCCGGCCUCCAUCUCUCCCUGAAGAGCCGGCGUCCUCUGCUCCUCUCUGCUCUGAGGCUGUUUUCCUAGGAGCCACCUGAAGUCUCCCGCAUUUACCGAUCACUGCGUCCUGCUAACUCAAAUCUCCUCCACCAGACGGCACUUUCUUACUUUCUCUGCUGCCUCUUUCUCCUUUUUCAAUCUUUCUCAUCUGGCCCUUCCAUUGUUAUUCACCCUGUUUAUUGCUUCAAGCAACCCUGACACGCUGGACAUCAUCUGAAACUACAAACGACAGGAAGCAAUAAGCUGCAGAAUACCAGCAAUCUGAGGAAAGUUCUUCAUUCACUCCUGCUCCUAACUCUCUGUCUUCUUAUCCUACAUAGAAAAUAAAAAAAUCAAUACCACCUCACAGGGCUUGAUAAAAGUGCCGGCCGAGUACAGCAGGCGUGCUGGAUAUAGUAAAUUAAAGUGAUC